Molecule: non-coding RNA, 73 nt
Organism: Salmo salar (Atlantic salmon)
Lineage: Eukaryota; Metazoa; Chordata; Actinopteri; Salmoniformes; Salmonidae
Source: Rfam
GUUUCUGUAGUGUAGUGGUUAUCACGCUAGCUUCACACGCAUAAGGUCCCUGGUUCGAAAACAGGCGGAAACA